Molecule: transfer RNA, 83 nt
Filed under: Hyphomicrobiales bacterium
Lineage: Bacteria; Pseudomonadati; Pseudomonadota; Alphaproteobacteria; Hyphomicrobiales
Description: Rhizobiales bacterium (sediment metagenome) tRNA-Val
Rfam family: tRNA
About the family: Transfer RNA (tRNA) molecules are approximately 80 nucleotides in length.
Source: RNAcentral
GCCUGGAUAGCUCAGAGGUAGAGCGCGGUGCCCACGUUGACGGCGGGGCGUCGAGGUCGCGGGUUCGACCCCCGCUCCGGGCU